GAUGAACGCUGGCGGCGUGCUUAACACAUGCAAGUCGAACGAGAAAUGUAGACGGAAACCUUCGGGCGGAAGCCUUCAUUUCGAGUGGCGGACGGGUGAGUAACGCGUGGGUAACCUGCCUCAUACAGGGGGAUAACAGUUGGAAACGACUGUUAAUACCGCAUAAGACCACAGCAUCGCAUGAUGCGGGGGUAAAAACUCCGGUGGUAUGAGAUGGACCCGCGUUCGAUUAGCCAGUUGGCGGGGUAACGGCUCACCAAAGCGACGAUCGAUAGCCGAUCUGAGAGGAUGACCGGCCACAUUGGGACUGAGACACGGCCCAAACUCCUACGGGAGGCAGCAGUGGGGAAUAUUGCACAAUGGGGGAAACCCUGAUGCAGCGACGCCGCGUGAGUGAAGAAGUACUUCGGUAUGUAAAGCUCUAUCAGCAGGGAAGAAAAUGACGGUACCUGAGUAAGAAGCCCCGGCUAACUACGUG
RNAcentral lists this ribosomal RNA (478 nucleotides) under uncultured bacterium. RNAcentral's name for it is "partial 16S ribosomal RNA". It matches the Rfam family "Bacterial small subunit ribosomal RNA", at positions 28 to 507 of the family's 1533-position model. The record is from RNAcentral.